AGGACGAACGCUGGCGGCGUGCUUAACACAUGCAAGUCGAGCGAUGAAGCUCCUUCGGGAGUGGAUUAGCGGCGGACGGGUGAGUAACACGUGGGUAACCUGCCUCGUAGAGGGGAAUAGCCUUCCGAAAGGAAGAUUAAUACCGCAUAAGAUUGUAGUUUCGCAUGAAACAGCAAUUAAAGGAGUAAUCCGCUAUGAGAUGGACCCGUGUCGCAUUAGCUAGUUGGUGAGGUAACGGCUCACCAAGGCGACGAUGCGUAGCCGACCUGAGAGGGUGAUCGGCCACAUUGGGACUGAGACACGGCCCAGACUCCUACGGGAGGCAGCAGUGGGGAAUAUUGCACAAUGGGGGAAACCCUGAUGCAGCAACGCCGCGUGAGUGAUGACGGUCUUCGGAUU
This 399-nucleotide ribosomal RNA is filed under the name uncultured bacterium. RNAcentral's name for it is "bacterial SSU rRNA". It matches the Rfam family "Bacterial small subunit ribosomal RNA", at positions 26 to 424 of the family's 1533-position model. The record is from RNAcentral.